RNAcentral lists this ribosomal RNA (402 nucleotides) under uncultured soil bacterium. RNAcentral's name for it is "bacterial SSU rRNA". It matches the Rfam family "Bacterial small subunit ribosomal RNA", at positions 12 to 393 of the family's 1533-position model. The record is from RNAcentral.
UUUGAUCCUGGCUCAGAACGAACGCUGGCGGCGUGGAUAAGACAUGCAAGUCGAGCGCUGAUUACAGGGUAGCAAUAUUUUGUAGUCGGAGCGGCGCAAGGGUGCGUAACACGUGGGUAAUCUGCCAUGAAGUUUGGGAUAACUCGCUGAAAGGCGAGCUAAUACCGAAUGUGACGAUUGGAAAGCAUUUUCUGAUCUUUAAAGUUGGGGAUCGUAAGACCUGACGCUUCAUGAUGAGCCCGCGGCCUAUCAGCUAGUUGGUGAGGUAACGGCUCACCAAGGCUAAGACGGGUAGCUGGUCUGAAAGGACGACCAUCCACACUGGAACUGAGACACGGUCCAGACACCUCCGGGUGGCAGCAGUCGAGAAUUUUUCACAAUGGGGGAAACCCUGAUGGAGCG